AAAGUCAAAAGUUUUUAACUUGCGACUUUUAACUUUUUACUUUUAACUCGCACAUCAUAUUUCAUGUGAUGUGCUGGGGUUGUAGGACAACAGUGUCAUUCUUGUAAUGAAAAAAGUCAAAAAAUAUUUUGUUAGUUGAAUC
This 142-nucleotide non-coding RNA is filed under the name Candidatus Campbellbacteria bacterium GW2011_OD1_34_28. The record is from RNAcentral. Lineage: Bacteria; Candidatus Campbelliibacteriota.